CAACAUCGAUGGUGUGAUGGCAGCCCUCAACAUCGUUCACAAUCCAGAUGAGUGGAGACUGUUCAUUGAUUCAUCGAAGACGAGUCUUAAAGCUGUUUUACUGCCUAAUGGCAAUGUUUUGCCAUCAAUUCCAAUUGGUCAUGCAGUCCAUAUGAAGGUAACCUAUGACAACAUGAAACAACUUUUGAGGUGCAUAAACUAUGACCAACAUCAGUGGCAGCUUUGUGGCGAUUUGAAGGUUGUUGCUCUCUUGCUUGGUCUGCAGACUGGAUACACAAAGUACUGCUGUUUUCUCUGCGAAUGGGAUAAUCGUGCAAGAGAUUCCCACUACAUCAAGAAAGAUUGGCUACUCCGACAGUCAUUGGAGCCUGGGAGGAAAAGUGUUCAGCAUCCACCACUUGUUGAAUCAAGGAAGAUUUUGUUACCAUCCUUACACAUCAAGCUGGGUCUGAUGAAGAACUUUGUCAAGGCCAUUGGCAAAACACAAGCAGCUUUCAAGUACCUCCAUGGAAAAUUUCCAAGGUUAAGUGAAGCUAAGAUAAAGGAAGGUGUCUUUGUUGGUCCUCAGAUUCGAGAUGAUGCAUUUGACCAUGCACUGCGUGGCAAGGAAAAGACGGCAUGGAAAGCCUUCCAGUUAGUGGCAAUAAAUUUUCUGGGAAACAACAAGGCAGACAACUACAGGUUGUUGGUGGAAAACCUCCUCAAGGCAUACAAAAGCCUUGGUUGCAACGUGUCACUAAAGAUACAUUUUCUGCACUCUCAUCUAGAUUUUUUUUCACCAAACUGCGGAGCAGUGAGCGACGAGCACGGCGAGCGAUUUCACCAGGACAUUGCAACAAUGGAGAAACGCUAUCAGGGCAAAUGGAGCCCAUCAAUGCUUGCAGACUAUUGCUGGACAGUGACAAGACAUGCUCCAUUUAAUGUUUCAGAGUAGCAGCUGUGUUAGUCUGUAUCCGCAAAAAGAAGAACAGGAGGACUUGUGGCACCUUAGAGACUAACAAAUUUAUUAGAGCAUAAGCUUUCGUGGACUACAGCCCACUUCUUCGGAUGCAUA
This 1054-nucleotide long non-coding RNA is filed under the name Chrysemys picta bellii (western painted turtle). RNAcentral describes it as "lncRNA (ENSCPBG00000002871.1)". The record is from RNAcentral. Lineage: Eukaryota; Metazoa; Chordata; Testudines; Emydidae.